This 307-nucleotide ribosomal RNA is filed under the name uncultured bacterium. RNAcentral's name for it is "bacterial SSU rRNA". It matches the Rfam family "Bacterial small subunit ribosomal RNA", at positions 28 to 334 of the family's 1533-position model. The record is from RNAcentral.
GAUGAACGCUGGCGGCGUGCUUAACACAUGCAAGUCGAACGGUUAAACCGCCUUCGGGCGGAUAUAGAGUGGCGAACGGGUGAGUAACACGUGACCAACCUGCCCACCGCUCCGGGAUAACGCGGGGAAACCCGCGCUAAUACCGGGUACUCCGGCAACGGCGCAUGCCGAUGCCGGGAAAGCAUCAGCGGCGGUGGAUGGGGUCGCGGCCCAUCAGGUAGUUAGGGGGGUAACGGCCCACCAAGCUUACGACGGGUAGCCGGGCUGAGAGGCUGAUCGGCCACAUUGGGACUGAGACACGGCCCAG